RNAcentral lists this ribosomal RNA (392 nucleotides) under uncultured bacterium. RNAcentral's name for it is "partial 16S ribosomal RNA". It matches the Rfam family "Bacterial small subunit ribosomal RNA", at positions 523 to 918 of the family's 1533-position model. The record is from RNAcentral.
ACACGUAGGGGCCUGACGUUGUUCGGAAUCAUUGGGCGUAAAGGGCGCGCAGGCGGCCGUCCAAGUCCGGUGUUAAAUGGUCGGGCUCAACCCGAUCAUGCGCUGGAAACUGGGCGGCUGGAGUCCCGGAGGGGAUGCCGGAAUUCCAGGUGUAGGGGGGAAAUCUGUAGAUAUCUGGAAGAACACCGAUGGCGAAGGCAGGCAUCUGGCCGGAGACUGACGCUGAGGCGCGAAGGCGCGGGGAGCGAACAGGUUUAGAUACCCUGGUAGUCCGCGCAGUAAACGAUGCGCACCAGGUGUCGGGCGGCAGCGCCCGGUACCGGAGCAAACGCGAUGAGUGCGCCGCCUGGGGAGUAUGCCCGCAAGGGUGAAACUCAAAGGAAUUGACGGGG